UCGGGAAUUUUGGGCAAUGGGCGAAAGCCUGGCCCAGCAACGCCGCGUGAGGGAUGAAGUAUUUCGGUAUGUAAACCUCGAAAGAAUGGGAAGAAUAAAUGACGGUACCAUUUAUAAGCUCCGGCUAACUACGUGCCAGCAGCCGCGGUAAUACGUAGGGAGCAAGCGUUGUUCGGAUUUACUGGGCGUAAAGGGCGCGUAGGCGGCGCGGUAAGUCACUUGUGAAAUCUCUGAGCUUAACUCAGAACGGCCAAGUGAUACUGCUGUGCUAGAGUGCGGAAGAGGCAACCGGAAUUCUUGGUGUAGCGGUGACAUGCGUAGAUAUCAAGAGGAGCCCCUGAGGCGAAGGCGGGUUGCUGGGCCGACACUGACGCUCAUGCA
This 381-nucleotide ribosomal RNA is filed under the name uncultured bacterium. Its description in RNAcentral is "bacterial SSU rRNA". It matches the Rfam family "Bacterial small subunit ribosomal RNA", at positions 355 to 753 of the family's 1533-position model. The record is from RNAcentral.